Non-coding RNA from Callithrix jacchus (white-tufted-ear marmoset), 59 nucleotides. Lineage: Eukaryota; Metazoa; Chordata; Mammalia; Primates; Cebidae. The record is from Rfam.
GGGAAACGGAAUGAAGGGGCCCGCCCCAGGCCCCCAAGCAAAAACAAAUCUAUGGGGCA